This is a long non-coding RNA of Homo sapiens (human), 596 nucleotides long. Ensembl annotates it as long intergenic non-protein coding RNA 2236. The record is from Ensembl. NCBI's taxonomy places the organism in Eukaryota, Metazoa, Chordata, Mammalia, Primates, Hominidae.
GCAGAGUUUCUCUGUGGUCAAACCACCCUGCCAGCCUCCCUGCUGCAGCCGGCAGCACGUCACUCCAUGCGGGAGGGGAGCCCCACCUAAGGUGAGGCACCUGCUCCCCCUUUGCCUCCUGCCAUGAGUGGAAGCUUCCCAAGUCCUCACCAGAUGCAAAUGUUGGUGCCAUGCUUCCUGUACAGCCUGCAGAACUGUGAGCCAAAGAAACCGCUUUUCUUUAUAAAUUACCCAGUUUCAGGGUACCGAGUGAGACCCAGCUGACCUGGAAAAUGACAGGGACACUUUUUAUCCUUCCAACUUAACCUUUCCGUCCUGACUUAACCUUUCCCUCUUUGACACAAAUGAAGAAAUUAGGGCUCUUGACUGCUACUGAUUUAAGGGGAUUACAGAGGCACUGCCAGCGAGCAUGAGCACAAGAGUUUAGCGCCUCUCGGCAGCUGAGAGAGGAUGCUGCAUACUUGGGGCCUGGGACCUCCGAGAAGACCUUCUUCAGCCGAAAGCACACCUUAUUCUUGUCCCAGUUGAAGGCUUCCCAACGGUCUUCAUGUGGCACUUGCUGUGUGCCAGGCCCCACUCUGGGCACUUGGUUUAUU